GAAUAAUCUGAUAAGUUUGUUGCUGGUUCUCUAGGGAGCAUGUGCACACUUGUCAUCUUUAUAUAUAUCUCCACCUGUGCACCUUUUGUAGACCUCUGACUUGCUAGCCAACUCAGGUUUGAGGAUUGACUUCAUGUCUUUCCCGGUCUAUGCUUCUUCAUAUACCCAAUUGUAUGUUAUUAGAAUGUAAAUCAAAUGGCCUUUGUGCCUAUAUACACUAUACAACUUUCAGCAACGGAUCUCUUGGCUCUCGCAUCGAUGAAGAACGCAGCGAAAUGCGAUAAGUAAUGUGAAUUGCAGAAUUCAGUGAAUCAUCGAAUCUUUGAACGCACCUUGCGCUCCUUGGUAUUCCGAGGAGCAUGCCUGUUUGAGUGUCAUUAAUAUAUAUCAACUCUCUUCAGCUUUUGCUUGUUGAGUGUUGGAUGUGGGGGGAGGAAGGUUUUUGCUGGUCCUCUCUCAGGUCAGCUCCCCUGAAAUGUAUUAGCGGAACAAUUGUAAACCGUUCAUUGGUGUGAUAACUAUCUACGCUAUUGACGUUGAAGCACAGUUCAGCUUCUAACAGUCCCAUUGACUUGGACAAAUUUUCAUUAAUGUGACCUCAAAUCAGGUAGGACACCCCGCUGAACUUAUGCAUAUCAAUAAGCGGAGGAAAAGAAACUAACAAGGAUUCCCCUAGUAACUGCGAGUGAAGCGGGAAAAGCUCAAAUUUAAAAUCUGUCAGUCUUUAUGAUUGUCCGAGUUGUAAUCUAGAGAAGUGUUAUCCGCGCUGGACCGUGUACAAGUCUCCUGGAAUGGAGCCUCAUAGAGGGUGAGAAUCCCGUCUUUGACACGGACUGCCAGGGCUUUUGUGAUGCGCUCUCAAAGAGUCGAGUUGUUUGGGAAUGCAGCUCAAAAUGGGUGGUAAAUUCCAUCUAAAGCUAAAUAUUGGCGAGAGACCGAUAGCGAACAAGUACCGUGAGGGAAAGAUGAAAAGAACUUUGGAAAGAGAGUUAAACAGUACGUGAAAUUGCUGAAAGGGAAACGCUUGAAGUCAGUCGCGUUGUCCAGGGAUCAACCUUGCUUUUGCUUGGUGUACUUUCUGGUUGACGGGUCAGCAUCAAUUUUGACUGUUGGAAAAAGGUCAAGGGAAUGUGGCAUCUUCGGAUGUGUUAUAGCCCUUGGUCGCAUAAAUGGUCGGGAUUGAGGAACUCAGCACGCCGUAAGGCCCGGGUGUUAACCACGUUACGUGCUUAGGAUGCUGGCAUAAUGGCUUUAAUCGACCCGUCUUGA
RNAcentral lists this ribosomal RNA (1269 nucleotides) under Phlegmacium coelopus. RNAcentral describes it as "eukaryotic LSU rRNA". The stretch from base 594 to 1269 matches the Rfam family "Eukaryotic large subunit ribosomal RNA", at positions 1 to 657 of the family's 3401-position model. Lineage: Eukaryota; Fungi; Basidiomycota; Agaricomycetes; Agaricales; Cortinariaceae. The record is from RNAcentral.